RNAcentral lists this ribosomal RNA (465 nucleotides) under Vreelandella stevensii. RNAcentral's name for it is "partial 16S ribosomal RNA". It matches the Rfam family "Bacterial small subunit ribosomal RNA", at positions 338 to 795 of the family's 1533-position model. The record is from RNAcentral. Lineage: Bacteria; Pseudomonadati; Pseudomonadota; Gammaproteobacteria; Oceanospirillales; Halomonadaceae.
CCUACGGGUGGCUGCAGUGGGGAAUAUUGGACAAUGGGCGAAAGCCUGAUCCAGCCAUGCCGCGUGUGUGAAGAAGGCCUUCGGGUUGUAAAGCACUUUCAGUGGGGAAGAAAGCCUUGGGGCUAAUACCCUCGAGGAAGGACAUCACCCACAGAAGAAGCACCGGCUAACUCCGUGCCAGCAGCCGCGGUAAUACGGAGGGUGCGAGCGUUAAUCGGAAUUACUGGGCGUAAAGCGCGCGUAGGCGGUCUGAUAAGCCGGUUGUGAAAGCCCCGGGCUCAACCUGGGAACGGCAUCCGGAACUGUCAGGCUAGAGUGCAGGAGAGGAAGGUAGAAUUCCCGGUGUAGCGGUGAAAUGCGUAGAGAUCGGGAGGAAUACCAGUGGCGAAGGCGGCCUUCUGGACUGACACUGACGCUGAGGUGCGAAAGCGUGGGUAGCAAACAGGAUUAGAUGCCCGAGUAGUC